Molecule: non-coding RNA, 501 nt
Organism: Acomys russatus (golden spiny mouse)
Lineage: Eukaryota; Metazoa; Chordata; Mammalia; Rodentia; Muridae
Source: the annotation of a RefSeq genome assembly
AUGGACAAAUUUCUGAAAGCAUCGUUUUUAGUCCUAGGCCUUCACCUAGCCUGGGUCAGUGGCCAACAGAAGGAGAGACAUGACCAGGAGAAGGUGAAACAAAGUCCCCAGUCUCUGACUGUCUGGGAAGGAGAGACCACAGUCCUGAACUGCACUUAUGAGAACAGCGCAUUUGACUACUUCCCAUGGUACCGGCAGCUUCCUCGGGAAGGCCCUGCACUCCUGACCUCCAUAUUAUCUGUGUCCAAUAAAAAGGAAGAUGGACGAUUUACCAUCUUCUUCAGUAAAAGUGAGAAACAGCUCUCCUUGCACAUCGCAGACUCUCAGCCUGGGGACUCAGCCACCUACUUCUGUGCAGCAAGUGCACAGUGCUCUCCAGGCACCUGCAGCCCACACACAAACCUGCAGCUGAAGCCCCAGCAAAGCUCUGCAGUGGAGCUGAGCCUGGCAGAGUGUGGAGAGGUUCUCAUUUGCAGGGGCGGGGGACAGGGGACACAGUGA